Molecule: ribosomal RNA, 2044 nt
Filed under: Escherichia coli
Lineage: Bacteria; Pseudomonadati; Pseudomonadota; Gammaproteobacteria; Enterobacterales; Enterobacteriaceae
Description: partial 23S ribosomal RNA
Rfam family: Bacterial large subunit ribosomal RNA
Source: RNAcentral
GACCGAACCGACUAAUGUUGAAAAAUUAGCGGAUGACUUGUGGCUGGGGGUGAAAGGCCAAUCAAACCGGGAGAUAGCUGGUUCUCCCCGAAAGCUAUUUAGGUAGCGCCUCGUGAAUUCAUCUCCGGGGGUAGAGCACUGUUUCGGCAAGGGGGUCAUCCCGACUUACCAACCCGAUGCAAACUGCGAAUACCGGAGAAUGUUAUCACGGGAGACACACGGCGGGUGCUAACGUCCGUCGUGAAGAGGGAAACAACCCAGACCGCCAGCUAAGGUCCCAAAGUCAUGGUUAAGUGGGAAACGAUGUGGGAAGGCCCAGACAGCCAGGAUGUUGGCUUAGAAGCAGCCAUCAUUUAAAGAAAGCGUAAUAGCUCACUGGUCGAGUCGGCCUGCGCGGAAGAUGUAACGGGGCUAAACCAUGCACCGAAGCUGCGGCAGCGACGCUUAUGCGUUGUUGGGUAGGGGAGCGUUCUGUAAGCCUGUGAAGGUGUGCUGUGAGGCAUGCUGGAGGUAUCAGAAGUGCGAAUGCUGACAUAAGUAACGAUAAAGCGGGUGAAAAGCCCGCUCGCCGGAAGACCAAGGGUUCCUGUCCAACGUUAAUCGGGGCAGGGUGAGUCGACCCCUAAGGCGAGGCCGAAAGGCGUAGUCGAUGGGAAACAGGUUAAUAUUCCUGUACUUGGUGUUACUGCGAAGGGGGGACGGAGAAGGCUAUGUUGGCCGGGCGACGGUUGUCCCGGUUUAAGCGUGUAGGCUGGUUUUCCAGGCAAAUCCGGAAAAUCAAGGCUGAGGCGUGAUGACGAGGCACUACGGUGCUGAAGCAACAAAUGCCCUGCUUCCAGGAAAAGCCUCUAAGCAUCAGGUAACAUCAAAUCGUACCCCAAACCGACACAGGUGGUCAGGUAGAGAAUACCAAGGCGCUUGAGAGAACUCGGGUGAAGGAACUAGGCAAAAUGGUGCCGUAACUUCGGGAGAAGGCACGCUGAUAUGUAGGUGAAGCGACUUGCUCGUGGAGCUGAAAUCAGUCGAAGAUACCAGCUGGCUGCAACUGUUUAUUAAAAACACAGCACUGUGCAAACACGAAAGUGGACGUAUACGGUGUGACGCCUGCCCGGUGCCGGAAGGUUAAUUGAUGGGGUCAGCGCAAGCGAAGCUCUUGAUCGAAGCCCCGGUAAACGGCGGCCGUAACUAUAACGGUCCUAAGGUAGCGAAAUUCCUUGUCGGGUAAGUUCCGACCUGCACGAAUGGCGUAAUGAUGGCCAGGCUGUCUCCACCCGAGACUCAGUGAAAUUGAACUCGCUGUGAAGAUGCAGUGUACCCGCGGCAAGACGGAAAGACCCCGUGAACCUUUACUAUAGCUUGACACUGAACAUUGAGCCUUGAUGUGUAGGAUAGGUGGGAGGCUUUGAAGUGUGGACGCCAGUCUGCAUGGAGCCGACCUUGAAAUACCACCCUUUAAUGUUUGAUGUUCUAACGUUGACCCGUAAUCCGGGUUGCGGACAGUGUCUGGUGGGUAGUUUGACUGGGGCGGUCUCCUCCUAAAGAGUAACGGAGGAGCACGAAGGUUGGCUAAUCCUGGUCGGACAUCAGGAGGUUAGUGCAAUGGCAUAAGCCAGCUUGACUGCGAGCGUGACGGCGCGAGCAGGUGCGAAAGCAGGUCAUAGUGAUCCGGUGGUUCUGAAUGGAAGGGCCAUCGCUCAACGGAUAAAAGGUACUCCGGGGAUAACAGGCUGAUACCGCCCAAGAGUUCAUAUCGACGGCGGUGUUUGGCACCUCGAUGUCGGCUCAUCACAUCCUGGGGCUGAAGUAGGUCCCAAGGGUAUGGCUGUUCGCCAUUUAAAGUGGUACGCGAGCUGGGUUUAGAACGUCGUGAGACAGUUCGGUCCCUAUCUGCCGUGGGCGCUGGAGAACUGAGGGGGGCUGCUCCUAGUACGAGAGGACCGGAGUGGACGCAUCACUGGUGUUCGGGUUGUCAUGCCAAUGGCACUGCCCGGUAGCUAAAUGCGGAAGAGAUAAGUGCUGAAAGCAUCUAAGCACGAAACUUGCC